Molecule: long non-coding RNA, 1950 nt
Organism: Pezoporus occidentalis (night parrot)
Lineage: Eukaryota; Metazoa; Chordata; Aves; Psittaciformes; Psittacidae
Exons: 3
Source: RefSeq, a predicted model, not a curated record
UUAUUAUUAUUUAAGUGAACCAGGCCUGUUUACUUUUAUAGUCUCUACGCAGCAAGGCUCCAUUAUACAAAAGUUGUGGGUUUUUUCCCCUGCCUUCAGGUCACUUGUUAAUGAGCUAAGCACUGGGAGAGGAUGGAAUUGAUUACAAUGGGAUACGGGCAGAGACAUUGCCUUUAAAUUUCCAUAGAAUUAGAAGAACGAACAAGAGAAAGAAGUCAUGUUUGUCAGCAGUCCAUGGAGAUGCUUUUCUGUGGAGGUUGAUGAGAGCGCCUUACAAUCGGUUGGAUAAAAUUUGGGUGCCAGUUAGAGGAGUUCUGGGACCCACCUCAACCCCACCUUGUGUAGUCUCUGACCUCCUUAACCUCUGCAGGGCUUCUUUUAUGAGAGUUCCCAGCCAGAUGGUCGAGUCAUCAAACCUUUAUGAGCACAAACUCCUUUUACCACUUCACAGCUUCUUCCAGCCUAAAAGCAGGGAGGGUAGACGUGUGAGGAAAAGAAGCUAAAAGGUGUUAAGGAUAAAAACAAGACAUAGGGGUACCUUCUUUCUGGGUUGGUAACUUAGUGUGAUGUCUGUGGUUUUGGCACUCCCUGCCUGUGUUGAUGUUAUUAUGAAUGUGUUUACAUCUUCCAGUACAAAACACUUAAAUGGAAAAGCACAGAAUUAUUUCCUACCAUACACGUUCAUUUUAUUACACUGCUAAAUGAGCAUUUAGAUUUUUUUUUUUUUCAAUUUCUUCAGUUUCUGAUUGUUUAGGACAUUUUUAAUCCAUUUGGUUUUGGUGGGUUUAUACUGCUAACAAUCACUGCUCUGGUUUCAGAGGAGUGAUCUGUAGUGGCAGAAAAUGUUACCUACCUUCAUUGGCAAUAGGUGACUUAAAUUACAUGAGGCCUAAGCCCAGCAAAGUGACCUUGUUAACUUUAUGAGAACUAUACUCUGGUUUCCACCUGCAUGCAAGGGAAAAAACCUCACUUAUGAGGAAGUCAAUUUCCAAGCACUUCUCCAAGAGGAAAGUUAACUCAGUCACCGAUUCCUGGAUUUAAGGGUUACACUUUUCCAAUUAGAGAACACACACAGAACAGCAAAAAGUGUAAAACUGCAACAUUGCCAAGACAUGCUAUAACCAUCCUUUGAUGCACAGAGUUAAUUUUAGAACCUUUGAAAUCAAUUCUUAUCAGUAGCAGGUAAAGUCAAAAAUAGAAGACCCAUGAAUCUGGGUGAGGUCAGAAUCCUUUACAGGUUCAGGUUGAUUGGUUUGCAAUAAAACCACUGAGAUCUGCCAGUUUUUAAUGAGCUUUUCUCUGAAGAGGUGAACUUGUAUUUUCACUGGGGGUUACUCUUGAGGGUAUGUUUCACGUGCCUGUCCUAAACAUUCCCUCUAGACCUUGCUGCUUUCCCACAUUAAAAAUCAUCAGAUGAUGCAGCCAUAAUAAAUAAUUCUAGCAAAGGAUCUACCCUCUAGUUUUGAAAAUGGAUCUUGACUCAGAGGCCAGUGAAUUUCUUUUGAGGAGAAGUAUGCCUUCCAAUAUUUUAGUUACUGGUACUGGUCAUGGUAGCUUGUGAAGGUCAGGCAAGAAGUUUGGGUCUGGUCAGCUCCACCUGGCCAUGAGGCAUUGCAGCAGCACACUGGGGGACAAACUGUGGACUCUGACAGCCAGGCAGACAUACAGAUGGGUCCAGCUUAUGCUUACUUUGGGUAAUUCUUGCUUGAAUUCAUGCAAACAGCAGAUGACCAAUAAUGUCUCUAAAUCAAAGGUGAAUAAAAGUUUGCAUCUAGGGACCAUGGUCUUGUGCCAUAGCCAAAAGGCAGUGUAGGCAAUAGUCUGUGAAAUAUUAGAGAUAGAUAACUUGGAGCUGUCAAAAAUUGUUCUUUUUUGUGCCACCAGCAUCAGAGCCUUGUAGCAUCAGAGGACCAGAACAAAGCUCACUGCAACCUUUCCUGCUCUGCUCAC